RNAcentral lists this ribosomal RNA (405 nucleotides) under Bacillus pumilus. RNAcentral's name for it is "bacterial SSU rRNA". It matches the Rfam family "Bacterial small subunit ribosomal RNA", at positions 49 to 443 of the family's 1533-position model. Lineage: Bacteria; Bacillati; Bacillota; Bacilli; Caryophanales; Bacillaceae. The record is from RNAcentral.
UCCUAUAAUGCAAGUCGAGCGGACAGAAGGGAGCUUGCUCCCGGAUGUUAGCGGCGGACGGGUGAGUAACACGUGGGUAACCUGCCUGUAAGACUGGGAUAACUCCGGGAAACCGGAGCUAAUACCGGAUAGUUCCUUGAACCGCAUGGUUCAAGGAUGAAAGACGGUUUCGGCUGUCACUUACAGAUGGACCCGCGGCGCAUUAGCUAGUUGGUGGGGUAAUGGCUCGCCAAGGCGACGAUGCGUAGCCGACCUGAGAGGGUGAUCGGCCACACUGGGACUGAGACACGGCCCAUACUCCUACGGGAGGCAGCAGUAGGGAAUCUUCCGCAAUGGACUAAAGUCUGACGGAACAACGCCGCGUGAGUGAUUAAUGUAUUCGGACCGCGGAUUAGUGUGUAUGCG